RNAcentral lists this long non-coding RNA (1105 nucleotides) under Ornithorhynchus anatinus (platypus). RNAcentral's name for it is "lncRNA (ENSOANG00000041222.1)". The record is from RNAcentral. Lineage: Eukaryota; Metazoa; Chordata; Mammalia; Monotremata; Ornithorhynchidae.
AUCUAUCCCAGUGCUUAGUACAGUGCCUGGCACAUAGUAAGCGCUUAGCAAGUACCGUAGAAACUGGUUCUUAAGGCUGUGUCUGGACCCCGUACCGGACCUGUUAAGGGUGAUUAAGCACUGACUGUGUGCCCAAAACUCUGCUAGGCACCGGGGCAGGUACAAGAAACGUGGACUGUAAACUGUGUCCAACCUGAUUAUUUUCUAUCUACCCCGGAACUCGAUAGAGUGCUUGGCACUGAGUAAGCGCUUAACAAAUACCACCCGUUAUUAGACAAGAUAGAACUCAGUCCCUGUCUCAAAUACGCGCUCACGGUCUAAGCGGGAGGGAGGACAGGUAUUUAAUCCCCAUUUUACGGUUGAAGAAGCAGGCAAAGAAGUCAGGUGACUUGCCCAAGGUCACACGGAUUGCCAAUAGAGUCAGGAUUCGAAUUUGGGUCUUCUGACGCCCCGGCCCUUGCUCAUUCUACUGGACCGUGCUGCUUCUCGAUGUUUACAUAACAGUAUACAACCUUACUUUUCCCAGGGGCUAAUCCAAAGGAUUGCCACGUUUCUGUUAGUUUAUCUGCACUGGUAAAUACGCCGAGUUCUGCGAUGAGGCAAUUCAGUUAGGCGGCGAUGGGGUGGAGUUAGGGAGCGUCCUUCCAACAGCACGCUCCUCUCGGGAUACAACCCUGACGUGGCAUAGGAAGAGAUGUCUUUGAGUAUCCUGAUCCCAGACCUCUCCACGCAUCGUCUUGCACUUCGCCCCGCUGUCCGGAUCAUCUUUGGAAAACAUCGUUGCGCACACGUCUCAACAUUCCUCAGAAACCUCCAGUGGAGACCCGCCAUUCUUCGCAUCCAACAGAAACUUCCGAACACUGACUUGAAGGUAUUCCGUCGGCGGUCUCCGUGUCCUCCUCCCACUCCUCCCAGCUUGCUCGCUCCAUUCCUCUCCAGCUUACUGUCUCACUGCCUCCUUCUCCACUCUCCCACCACCAACCCCUGGCUCACACCCUUCCUCCUGCCUGGAACUCGGUCUCGCCUUCACAACAUCGCCAAGAUCCAUCCUUUCCUCUCCAUCCAAACCGUUACCACAUUAGAACAAGCACUCAUCCUAUCAUGA